GGAGAGAUGGCUCAGUGGUUAAGAGCACUGACUGUUCUUCUGGAGGUCCUGAGUUCAAAUCCCAGCAACCACA
Molecule: transfer RNA, 73 nt
Filed under: Mus musculus (house mouse)
Lineage: Eukaryota; Metazoa; Chordata; Mammalia; Rodentia; Muridae
Description: tRNA-Asn
Source: RNAcentral